CCCCCCGAAAAAAAAGUCUUCAGUUAGUUGAUACAGUUUCUUCUUUGAUGAAGUUACUAAUUUCAGGAGCAGAAUUUUGAGGCCUCCCAUCCUAUAAUAUGACACUUAGGAAUGGUCAAGUAACAAGCCAAGGUCAAACAGCCUCAAGUAUCUGUAUUUGUGUGUACAGAUAAUGUGAAAUGUGUAAGGGUCUAAAUGUGACUGUCUGCCUGUCUGAAUAAGAGAACAGGUUUUUUUCCUUCAUUUAGAUUUUUAUGUUUAUUCUUGGGUUUGGGUUUUUUUAUGGUAAGCUUUGUAAUUAGGCUAUUAGCUUUGUUUAUGAUUAGCCUGCUUCAGUGUCUGCAGCUUUAUCUUUUUCUACAUGUUUCCAUCCAAUUUAAAAUACAUUUUAAUUUGCUUUUAAUUUAUACAGAGGAUUGGAAUUGUAUGGUAAAUAUACUAUGACAAAAAUUAAGUUAGUUUCUUUACUUUUUAUUUGGUAAGAGGAGAUAAAAGGGAUAGAUUAAAAAUAUUCAAACUCAGCAAAAAAAAAAGCGCAAUAGUAAUUAAAACUGAUGACACCCAGAAACCAACAAAAAUACUGGGACUUAAUAAAAUUUAAUGGGGAAAGAAAAUGUAAUGGACUAUAUAAGUGAGUGCUGGCAAAAGUAACUUCCAUGACUGACCCUGUUUUUGAGAUGUUUUUCUAUGUGCUCUUUUAUAUUUAGGUCACUGAAAAUUUUCAGUAGAUAAAUGCUUAGAAUAGUGAACAGCUUUUUGGAAAAGCAGUCAAAGAUUUAAGGAAUAUCCAUUUUUAAACAUCUUUUAUUUUUACUAGUCUAAGCUAUAGAAAUAAUUUUAAAAUUAACAGGCUCCUACUGCUUGAUAUAGUUUCAUUCCUUCUUUUGUUCCAGUGAAUAAUCUGGGUCUUUGGUUUUGGAAAAAAGUGUGUUUAGUGACAUAUUGUAACCAAGAGUUUUAAGAGCACGCUAUCUGUAAUGAUUAUGAGAUUUCAGUGUGGCAUUGAGCACCUACAGAGACUUAAAGGAAUGAGUCUUAAGUACUGGCUAGCUAUGACCUUCUCCUAGAGAUCUUAUAAGUGGGUGGAAAAGAUGAUUUUGCUAUGCAUUUUGAUUGUAAUGUUUCAGCGUAUGUUCUGUUAAUUUGAUCCUUUUAUUACAUAAUGCUGUGUGUUAUUUCAUAUCCUUGGAACUUCAGUAAUAUAAUGUCUGUCUCCCAUAUGCUUGAAGUCCCAGAGGAACAUAAUUUUCUCCCCAGAAAAUCAUCAACUAGCAGCUUACCUCUCUCACAAUCAGGAGGAAAUGCUGGACUUAUUUAAAAUAAGCACUUUGGAUAACAAUAUGCAGACUCUCUUGUGAAACAGUCAUAAGGAAACCAGCUGACAUAAGAAAAUGAAGACAUCCAAGCCAAUGUUUAAGCAAACUCUUAGUAAAGUAGCUGGAACAGUUGAUCACAGCCUCUUAGAGCAGACGGAAACAGCAGCAAAGUGCAGAAUGGAAAGACAGAGACUCCCUCCUUCCCUCUGCAUUACCACUGUGAUGAGAAGGAUAGAAGGUAAUGUAAUAUAUGUGUGUCCAUGCUUGCAUUAUGUCAAAAGUCAAAAUAACGUAGUUAAACUGCAGCAGGUUUUGCUUUCAGCCAAAGCAUCAGGGAAAUACAUGGUAUAUUAAAAACAAAGUUCACCACUGGCAAAAAGAUGUAAAACUUUAUUGGCCAAAAGGGAAGUGCCUAUUUGUGGGCUGCAUUAAGAACUCUGGAGCUUUUCUGGUUUGGUUCAGUAAGAAGCAUGCCCCAAACUGGUUUUGAUUUGGGUGUUUUCUUUUGUUAGGUUGUUUGGGUAGAAGUUUCUGCCUAAGUAUACUUACUGAUUUCCAUGAUGUUAUCAAUGAUGGUUUCAAAGAAAAUAGGCCAAAAAAAGUUUAAAAUAACAGGUUGGAAUUAAAAACCCCAAAACUCCACAAUGGAGGUAGCAGCACAAACAGGUAGUGUUAGAGGCUGUGGUUUAAUUUUCACACUCGAGGACAGAAAAAAGUAGUCAGGUGUUAAUGCUGAUAAAUGAAUGUCAAAUUUGCAUCAUUUGGGGGUUUGUUUAGCAAACUAAGCUAAUAGUUUCAUUUUUUUUUAUAAAUCAAAUAUUUUUGAAAGGAAGUAUUAUCAUCAUGGAGCUUUACAAAGGCAAACAGUGCCAUAAGAAAGUUCUUGCUGUAGUGUCAGAACUAUGUAUGAACUGCCUUUAUAAGAACUCGUCUCAGCCCCUGACAAUAUUGUUAGUGGUAUCAGUUAUUUCUCUACUUCAGAGUCAGUCUUUGAUAAUGAUUUUUUUUUAAUAUUAAUCCAUUUGAUUUUUUUUUAACAAGGGUGAAACCCCGGGGUUCACAUUCAGUGCAAUGGAUAUUGCAAUUUUUCUUAACUAUGCAAUGUGAGUAGCUAUAUUCUGCAGCUUUAUAUUAUAGUUUUGUUUCAGAUUUUUAAGGCUUACCAGUAACUCAUAUUUGUACACUAGUUUAUUGCUGAAAAAGAAUUGAUGACAGAAAGAUAUGAAGAAAUGGGCGUUCAUCCAGUCCCAAUAUAUAAAUAACCUUCUGAAGAGAUGGGAAGAUUUACAUGCAUUUUUGGCCCUCAGAAACAAAACCCAUGAUAGAAAACAGACAUUAAAGAGAAACAAGCACUUGCCAGAGUACAUUUACCUUUUUUAAACUUUUUAUUGCAUUUACUUCACAUACAAGACUGAUUACCGGUCAUGUGAGGAAAUUCAGCCCUUUGCAAAUAUCCAGUGAAAAAUACAAAGCCCAUCUGUGAACAGAGUGUGGAGGCAACAUGUAUCCUAGUGAAAGAGUGGCUGAAAGACUGGGUGUGUGAAAAAAGAGAAAAGGUAAUAAUAUAAUUAAUUUUUAAAGAACAGAAGAUUUACUGGCAUGUGAUAACAAAUUCAGUGGAAAUCAACUAGAACCUAUUAUACUCCAAGAACUGAACAUUAAAUCCAUAACUGGGGAAUAUUUUAUUGAAAAAGUUGUAUGGAGGAGACACUCCAGUCAUGUAGGGUUACUUGUGAGUCAAGCAGGAGUCACCACUAGCAGUACUUAUCAGUGGAUUUUGUAUUUAAUACAUAUUAGAACGAGAAAACCAGCACUGUAACAUACGAUUAGUUGUAUUAGUAAUAAGAUGGAUUUAUUCUACAGUGCAGCAUAAUCAGAUGCUUUGGCCAUGUUUUGGAAGAUUCCUUUGAUUAACACGUGAUAUCAGUUACCUCCUGGGGUAACCCUCCCUGGUGUCUUCACCGUUAAAAGGCCUUCCAGAUUUCCCUUCUUCUAAACUAGUGGUUUUCAUCCUUUGAAGCAGUCUCUGUAGUGGAGAUCAAGGCAACUUUCAAGUGAGUCACAGGUAGGAUCUGGAGGCUUCCACACCAUCCCUGGAUUCUCUUUUUCUUGCUUCCCCUGUGUAUCGCAGGCUGAUAACCCAACCCCAUACAGCCUCCAUGCAUUCCCCAGCUCACGGUGGCUGCUAUUCCUUCUGCCCUGGUGGGCAGUGGGAGAAAGCAAGUCGUGAGGAUGACAGUAGCACGGCCUCUGCUGAGUGAGUUCCUUGAAUGUGGUCCUCUGAAUCUGCCACAGCCUUUAUUGUUGGGAGAUUUUGUUCACCUCCUUGUACCAUUUUAGUUCCUACCUGCUUUUUUUUUGUCCCUCCCGUCACACCCAUGGUAUAUUUCAUUCACAGGACAACUGAAUCCUCAGCCCAUAUCAUUCCAGUAUCGUGUCCCUCAGUAAUCAUCCCUCACUGGUACUCUCCUAUGUUCCCAGCAUCAUUCAUGUUCCCAGCAGGUCUACUGGCCAUCAACAGCAGCCCGCUGCAGGCCUGGUAACGUAGGCCUUCCCUCACAUCUUCUUGAGACUCGCUGUUGUCCAGGAGCCUGAGAGGUGAGGGAGGUGGUGUGAGGGGCCCACAAAGCAGGGGAAGGUGAAGCAGCAGUCGUUCUAGGGGAAGGACAUCCGGACCAGCAUUAGAACCUAAUGGUUUUGUAUGUUUAUGCAUAUAGUUCAAAAGGGCAGUGAGGCUCCUGACCAAAUUAAAUCAGCAGAUUUUAUUUCUUGGUAAAAUUGUUCCUCACACCUUGUAGAAACAUUACAGAAGAAUAACUGAAGAAAUUGCACUGGAAACUCGAAGAACUGAAUGAAGGAUUACACAUUAAGUUUGCAUGCUAUGCUACAGAUGUCUGUUGUAAGGAUAUGAAUGCUGUUAAACUUUCAAUUUAACUCCAGAGGGUGACCCAAAAAAUACUGAAUUAAUAUUUUUAUUUCAUGCCUUUUUGAAGGAUUAACUAUUGCUUUUUAAAAUCUGCAAAGACCUGUAGGAGUAAAAAUGCAAAGCACAACAUCCGACCCAUUAACAUGCUAAUUCAUUUAGAGGGAAUUUAAAAAGUAGUUUCACCUAUUAUAGUAUUUGCAGCUUCAUGCUACUCUGUUACAGAACCUGUUAAGCAAGCCAUGUCCCUGGCGUAGUUAACAACCCUGAAGGGAGCGCCAACCUUAGGGAUCAUGGGAUAUCCCAUCACGAACACCAUGGGAGUAGCAUAGAUCAAGGGUGGGAUGACAGGCACUACAAUCCUCAUUCUGCUCAUGAAGUGCAGUACUUGAUAACUGAUCAUAAAUUAGCAGGGAAGAUUUAAACAUUAAAAGGAAGCUGGAGGGAGGCGUGGGAGUGCCGUGUUCUGUGUGCGCGCUCCGUGGGAGCACGUCUGUUGUACUGGGCAGCAGCUUGGGAGCACUGCGCGCUGUGCCACACUAUGGAGCUGUUUGGCUUUAUGGCUAAAAGCAGUCAUGCUGGUUUGGUGAAGCAACUUAAAGCUGGAGAAUGUGCCUUGGGUUAUGUUUGAGUGCUGUAGCUUGUGCUGCGUUCCCAUGGGUUGGUUAAUGUGCCUGCCUAUAUAGCCUGUAACUGUGCCCUGUCUUUAUGGUAACCUGAGAGGUGGCAUGGUUCCUGCUUUGCUGUACUUUAACAAAAACUAUCAGAAAAGAAAGGAUUGUUUGCUCUGAGUGCUCUUCAGUUCUGCCCAGCAACUCAAAAUUAGUAGCUUUCAUUAUUUGGGAGAGUGGAUGUUCUGAUUAGAAUGCUGAGGAAAACUUUACAUUUUAUUUUGAGAAUUAAAUGUCACAAAGAGCAAUACAUAUGUAAUUGAUCUCUUAAACUUCAACUAUUCUGUGUCUUCAAGUAAUUUCUUUGUGUUUUCAGUCUUUAUGCUAGUGUACUCUUUCAUCAUCAUUGGUCAUGUCCCAGAGAACUGAGUCCAGAAUAUUUUGAGAGAAAUGCUAGAAAAUAAUGAGCAACUGAAAAAAAACCAGAUUACCAAACCUGAGGAAUUCAAAUGCAUGCCUGUGGAACUAAUGGGUGCCUUUUCAAUCAACUAAGGCUAAGAUGUAAAGUAAAAAAGGAGCUUCCGUGCUUUCCUGUCAUGAGUCGUGAGAGAAAUGAACUCAGCAGAAAAAUGUCAUGUUUCAGUAGAGUGUCCAAUAUGUCUCAAAAGAGACAGAAGGAGGAAAAUUUUGAAUGGGACAGAAACUGAUACUAUGUUGCAAGUUUCUGGAUAAUGUGUAUUGCCUUUUCAUGAAAACCUGACAAAUUCAUUGCACUUAGUACCUGGAAAUAAAAGAAUAUGAGUAGCAGUAACAGCCAAGGUAAAAGAAACCACACUACUUCCAGAUAAAUUUAAAGAGCAACUCCCACUCUUCAAAGGCUUUCUGGUAUAAAAGCUUCCAGCAGAAGAGCAUAUGUGGAAUAAAAAAAGCUCAGUAAAAACUGACUAACUAAAAAAGAAGGCGACAGCCAGGAAUACUAAAUCUAAGAAAGAAAUGCUGUGAUCAGGAUUCAGGUUUCCGAAGUGCUCAGAAAAGGAGAGAUGCUCUUGGAAGCCAUGCUGGACUGAAGAUGACCUAGACUGAGAUUCCCAAAUUCUAAUACAUUUGUGCCAGAGCAAAGCGCUGCCUAAAUAAUUCCUGAGUAGUCAAGCACAUUGUCCUGGCCAAUACUGAAAGCUGUUGCUACUGCAACUUCUGCUACCUCUACCAACGGUGGCUACAUCGUAGUGAGCAAGAUGCAUACAAGAACCACUGAUCUGGAUGUUCUUACUUCAACUAAAGAUUGAGGUAAUGUGUUCUUACUUUUCUUUAAGAAAAACAGGAGGGCACUAAGGAGCAUGAAGAAUCUACACAGAUAAAUGGGAGCAAUAUAAAUAGGUAGUGGAAAGAGAAGAUAAGCAUUGUUAGUUGGGUAAAAAUAGAACAGGACACCAUCACCUAAACAAAAAAACAUAUUUAAUUUGUUGCAUUUGGUACUUUAUUUACCUUUCUCCUAGUAAAUACAGCAAGAAUAAAAUGCUAAGCAGAAACACCACUAUUGAAACAAACAACAGAGGACAGCUGUGUGAUAUCUUGGAGAGAAACAUUCACGACCCAGAAAUACCAAUAUGUUAACGGAUCUAAAGGGAUAACAAAAGAUUUUUAAUGCAUUUCUGAUCUUCUUUGCUUAAUAUCUAAUGAAAAUAGAAAAGUGCAUGAAGCAGCUAGCAGUGACCAUUUUUAAACACUGCUUGUCUAAUCUUCCAAGCUGUUGAAUUAUACAACUCCUAUUGAAAUAAACAGGAACUGCUGCUGCUGAGCUCUGUUACAAAUUAGGCCACCUGAGAAAUUGUUCUAUAGCUGAUCUGAAACAAGUAAUUAUUAGGGAGUUGUAAGUUCAGAUAAUGCUUAUGUUUAAGACCAAGUAGGUGGCUGAGUAUUGUGUACAUUUACCUGUUCAGCGGUACAAGUCUUUUUUUUUUUUUUUGUUCAAGUAUACAUCUGAUUUUUGUAAUUACUUUCUCAAAGACUUCUGAAAAGUUUAUCCUCAAAAGCCUAAGAAUUGUCUGCUGACAUAGGUAACCUGAAACAAUGCAUUUGAGCAAGUGGAAUUUUUAGUAAACAGGUUACUGGAAAGAUAAACAACCUAAGUCAGCUAGAAAAGAAUAUUCACAAAUACAAUAUUAUUAUAUAAACUUCCCUUCUAAACUGCUUUGUAAUUGUCAGAAGCACACAGUAAGCACAUUUCCUGUGCUGUGGGCUAUAGAACAAUAAUUCAAGUUUUAGGGCAUCUAGUACCACAUCAAAACCAUCAUCGUCUAGUGAUUGAAAGCACUGAUCCGGUAUAAACUCAAGCUGCCUGUACUGAUUUGCUCAGAGGGGUUGUUCAUUAAUUUGUUAGACAGGUGACUUCAAACUGUCUGUGGUUCUGCUCAUCUGUGUCUGACUGGACCCUUCAUAGUUAGCCCAGACUUUUCUUUUUGGUAGUUCCUUCUUUUUGUCUUCCCCACUUUCAGUGCUCAGAUGUAUUGUUCGUUGAUGUCCUCACAUGUGCCUCUUUCAGCCCUCUUCCAGUUGGAUGUUCACAGGACGUUCGCUCAACUCUUUUUGUUGAUCUUUGCUUCAGAUCUUCAGUUAUCCAAAAAUUCCAAAACUUGUCCGCCUCCUUCUCUUUUUCCCUUGGACCUCAGCAUAAGCUAUGUGGGUGCACUGGCCACAUGUUAAUGACAUGUUCCACCUCAGUGGCUCUAACUGGAGGCUGUACCAUCUGCCUCUCUCGGGUCUUCCCUGAGACUUUCCUCUUCUUGGAUUACCACAAGAAUCACACAACUCAAUUUUGAGAAAGGAAAUGCAAAUGCACAUCCUGACCUAGUCAUCAUCGAUUCCAGUCAAAACUGGUGGUAAAAUGAAGCUAUGCAGGAAAGCUUGCACUUUCUAUUUCCCCCCAGUAAUUACUAAUCAUAUAUCAAAACAGAGAUAAUGUAUCAGAGGUGAUUGAAUUUUAGCUCAAGAGAGCAAGGUACCAUCUCUUUAAACACUUCCCAGAAUAGUGGGCUUCUCUGUUGGCUACAUUAGUCAUCACUUUUCCCCACAGAUUCAAUGUGUCCACACAUGCCUUGUAUAGUAACAACUCCUUCACCUUCCUGUCAUCCCAGGAAUGAGUAGACAUGACUUUCUGCUAUAAGGAAGCAGCCUUGAUACUCACUCUGGAUCCAUCAUGGAUUUCUGUCUGGAAGGCUAGACAAAUACACUGGUAACGGGGACCUUCAAUGAGCAAGAAGAGUCUUGCUGGCUAAAAAUCAAUCACCAUUCACGUUUUCUUGCCCAAAGAGUCUCGGGUGAACUGCUAGGAACAAAACUACAUGUCCUAGUCAAAAAGAUAUUCCCCUUUGGAAAGAGAGAACUCCUUUUCAGAGGAGCUGGGAUAGAGUGACAGGAAGAAAGGGGAUAUGUGGUUAACACACAGAAAAGCUACCCCAGUGAGGAAAGCCUAGUAUGCUUUGCUGUGUUCAUCACCCUGAGCUCAAGGGAGGCAGGCACAUUCUGAACGGCAUGUCAUGUCCAAAACCUUGCUGGCUAUUUGCAUUCUCCACACUAGUUAACAAUGGUAUAAUGCAGUUGGUGAUACCCGGCUUCAAAACGAUUGCAGCAAUCUGCCUCUCAGCUCUGUAGAACUCUGCUGAUGGCCAUUUCUAUGCCAUGGUAUGUUCAGCACAGAUCUCCAAAAACAUUGCCUUCUCUGUUCUACAUUUGUUUCCGUUGUCUUUGCCCCUGAGCAUUUGCAGCUCUUCCCACUGCCACCAACUCUUUUAAAAAAAACGGAUGUUAAUAGCAUGGAUGUUCAUUUUAUUCUUACUGAGAAUUCCUCCCAGCAGGGCCAGCUCAU
Molecule: long non-coding RNA, 8715 nt
Organism: Harpia harpyja (harpy eagle)
Lineage: Eukaryota; Metazoa; Chordata; Aves; Accipitriformes; Accipitridae
Exons: 3
Source: RefSeq, a predicted model, not a curated record